RNAcentral lists this long non-coding RNA (717 nucleotides) under Capsicum annuum. Its description in RNAcentral is "long non-coding RNA (CANN_LNC015438)". Lineage: Eukaryota; Viridiplantae; Streptophyta; Magnoliopsida; Solanales; Solanaceae. The record is from RNAcentral.
UCAAAAGUAGGCCACAGAUGGCUAAAAAGACUGAAUACCCGAGAGAAAUUUGACUGUGAUUUUAUCGAGGUAAGCAAUGAAAGUUACGCGAAUAGCAAAGGGGAAAGCUCAAAGAAAAGGUCCUAACUAGAAAAAGGACUAACUCAAUUGUGAUUCAAGUACAAUUAAGAAAAGGGAUCAAAGAGAGAAACUACAUACUAGCAAAGAUAACAACCCUUAAUAGUGCGAUGCAAACCCAAGAGGACAUUAUGGCUGCUAUAGUCAGUCUGACCGAGUCGGCAUAAAUUGGUGUAGUAGUGAACCACUCUCUAUUUGUGAGAUUCAAGUUGAGGAGAUGGCAACAAGAAGCUUAUGAUGAACAGAUGCAACCUUCAUUAAAUCCAUAACUAUAGAGGGACUAGAUACUCAACAGAAAUUGGGACUGAACUCAGGAUGACAAAGGGAAAAUUAUAAAACCCUAUUUGAAGGCAACAAAAUAUUUGCUAUGGAUAUGGACUUAUAAUAUAUUCCCCCAGUUGUAAUCGAGGGGGAGAAGGUGGAUGAAAUAUUGCAGGACGAAGUGGAUGCUGAAAUUAGCAACUGAAAAAAUGUAGGUUACUGUACAUGGUACAGUAGCCAAACCAAAGGUACUUCUACAUAACAAAUGGUAUUUUAAUAUGAUUCCAAACAUCGAUGAAAAAGAUGAAAUAUUAGUUUUUGGGCCCCAUGCCAUUAAUA